Molecule: non-coding RNA, 229 nt
Organism: Paramuricea clavata
Lineage: Eukaryota; Metazoa; Cnidaria; Anthozoa; Malacalcyonacea; Plexauridae
Source: the annotation of a GenBank genome assembly
GUUUAUUUCGCUUUGUCUUGACCUAGGACCUUUAUAGUACUCUAUCACAAAUUAUUAAUAUUGAACAUAUAUUAUUAAACAGUAUUUCACCUUUGCACAUAAACGUCUUUCCAUAAUUUCUUGAGGUUUGAAUAUUCGUUCCCUGUCUUUCACUAGCCAGGAUGAUUCUUGCCACUUGUGCAACUCGAAACAAAUGUUAAAAUGUCGAAGAAAAGGCAAACACCGAGGC